Molecule: ribosomal RNA, 253 nt
Filed under: uncultured bacterium
Lineage: Bacteria
Description: partial 16S ribosomal RNA
Rfam family: Bacterial small subunit ribosomal RNA
Source: RNAcentral
UACGUAGGCAGCAAGCGUUGUUCGGAAUUACUGGGCGUAAAGAGUACGUAGGUGGUCUGCUAAGUCCGAUCUGAAAUCUCCCGGCUUAACUGGGAGGGUGGGUUAGAUACUGGCAGGCUUGAGUGUGGGAGAGGAGAGCGGAAUUCCUGGUGUAGCGGUGAAAUGCGUAGAUAUCAGGAGGAACGCCCGUGGUGUAGACGGCUCUCUGGACCAUUACUGACACUGAGGUACGAAAGCGUGGGUAGCAAACAGG